AUUGAACGCUGGCGGCAUGCCUUACACAUGCAAGUCGAACGGUAACAGGUCUUCGGAUGCUGACGAGUGGCGAACGGGUGAGUAAUACAUCGGAACGUGCCUAGUAGUGGGGGAUAACUACUCGAAAGAGUGGCUAAUACCGCAUGAGAUCUACGGAUGAGAGCAGGGGAUCGCAAGACCUUGUGCUACUAGAGCGGCCGAUGGCAGAUUAGGUAGGUGGUGGGAUAAAAGCUUACCAAGCCGACGAGCUGUAGCUGGUCUGAGAGGACGAUCAGCCACCCUGGGACGGAGACACGGCCCAGACUCCUACGGGAGGCAGCAGUGGGGAAUUUUGGACAAUGGGCGCAAGCCUGAUCCAGCAAUGCCGCGUGCAGGAUGAAGGCCUUCGGGUUGUAAACUGCUUUUGUACGGAACGAAAAGCCCCGGGUUAAUACCCUGGGGUCAUGACGGUACCGUAAGAAUAAGCACCGGCUAACUACGUGCCAGCCGCCGCGGUAA
Molecule: ribosomal RNA, 498 nt
Filed under: uncultured bacterium
Lineage: Bacteria
Description: partial 16S ribosomal RNA
Rfam family: Bacterial small subunit ribosomal RNA
Source: RNAcentral